RNAcentral lists this ribosomal RNA (876 nucleotides) under uncultured bacterium. RNAcentral describes it as "bacterial SSU rRNA". It matches the Rfam family "Bacterial small subunit ribosomal RNA", at positions 51 to 918 of the family's 1533-position model. The record is from RNAcentral.
ACACAUGCAAGUCGAGGGGCAGCAUUUUAGUUUGCUUGCAAACUAAAGAUGGCGACCGGCGCACGGGUGAGUAACACGUAUCCAACCUACCGAUAACUCUGGAAUAGCCUUUCGAAAGAAAGAUUAAUACCGGAUAGUAUACGAAUAUCGCAUGAUAUUUUUAUUAAAGAAUUUCGGUUAUCGAUGGGGAUGCGUUCCAUUAGUUUGUUGGCGGGGUAACGGCCCACCAAGACUACGAUGGAUAGGGGUUCUGAGAGGAAGGUCCCCCACAUUGGAACUGAGACACGGUCCAAACUCCUACGGGAGGCAGCAGUGAGGAAUAUUGGUCAAUGGGCGCAGGCCUGAACCAGCCAAGUAGCGUGAAGGAUGACUGCCCUAUGGGUUGUAAACUUCUUUUAUAUGGGAAUAAAGUUUUCCACGUGUGGAAUUUUGUAUGUACCAUAUGAAUAAGGAUCGGCUAACUCCGUGCCAGCAGCCGCGGUAAUACGGAGGAUCCGAGCGUUAUCCGGAUUUAUUGGGUUUAAAGGGAGCGUAGGUGGAUUGUUAAGUCAGUUGUGAAAGUUUGCGGCUCAACCGUAAAAUUGCAGUUGAAACUGGCAGUCUUGAGUACAGUAGAGGUGGGCGGAAUUCGUGGUGUAGCGGUGAAAUGCUUAGAUAUCACGAAGAACUCCGAUUGCGAAGGCAGCUCACUAGACUGUCACUGACACUGAUGCUCGAAAGUGUGGGUAUCAAACAGGAUUAGAUACCCUGGUAGUCCACACAGUAAACGAUGAAUACUCGCUGUUUGCGAUAUACAGUAAGCGGCCAAGCGAAAGCAUUAAGUAUUCCACCUGGGGAGUACGCCGGCAACGGUGAAACUCAAAGGAAUUGACGGGG